Chiroxiphia lanceolata (lance-tailed manakin) is the source of this 97-nucleotide long non-coding RNA. RefSeq lists it as uncharacterized. The record is from RefSeq and is a predicted model, not a curated record. Lineage: Eukaryota; Metazoa; Chordata; Aves; Passeriformes; Pipridae. The transcript is spliced from 3 exons.
ACUAUUAGCCCAAAGGGCAGGUAUGUGGUGACAUGGAAGUGGUUUAUCGGAAUUGUAUCAUUCUGUAAACAAAGUUGAGAUCAGAAGAGCACAAGUC